This 351-nucleotide ribosomal RNA is filed under the name uncultured Pseudoflavonifractor sp. Its description in RNAcentral is "bacterial SSU rRNA". It matches the Rfam family "Bacterial small subunit ribosomal RNA", at positions 355 to 716 of the family's 1533-position model. Lineage: Bacteria; Bacillati; Bacillota; Clostridia; Eubacteriales; Oscillospiraceae. The record is from RNAcentral.
UGGGGAAGUAUUGGGCAAUGGGCGCAAGCCUGACCCAGCAACGCCGCGUGAAGGAAGAAGGCUUUCGGGUUGUAAACUUCUUUUGUCAGGGACGAGUAGAAGACGGGUACCUGACGAAUAAGCCACGGCUAACUACGUGCCAGCAGCCGCGGUAAUACGUAGGUGGCAAGCGUUGUCCGGAUUUACUGGGUGUAAAGGGCGUGUAGCCGGGAGGGCAAGUCAGAUGUGGAAAUCCACGGGCUCAACUCGUGAACUGCAUUUGAAACUACUCUUACUUGAGUAUCGGAGAGGCAAUCGGAAAUUCCUAGUGUAGCGGUGAAAUGCGUAGAUAUUAGGAGGAACACCAGUGGC